This 1206-nucleotide long non-coding RNA is filed under the name Homo sapiens (human). RNAcentral's name for it is "HSALNT0382285". Lineage: Eukaryota; Metazoa; Chordata; Mammalia; Primates; Hominidae. The record is from RNAcentral.
CUAUGGUGCCUAUGGAAUGUCUUGCUUUCUUUCCUGCAGAGACUGAGAGCCCCUCCUGUCCCAGGGGUGCUGAGAGGUCUGUCUCUGGCUCCCCCACCGCUCCCAUGUCUCUGCUGGGACUGGACCUGUGCCUCCUGGGAUGACCCCCACCAUCCACCCCUAGGCACCAGGACUGAGUCGGCUCUGAAAAGAAAUGGGGAAUGAAGCUUUGGGACUUGGUUCCUGCCUUCAGGGAGCCAAUGGUCCAGCCAGGGGGAUUAGGGUUCAUGUCCCUUCCUGGGCCUCCAGGAGGUCAUGACCUUCAAAGCAAGAAUGAGGAAGCCCACGAUGGUAGCGUGGGGCCCUGCAUGAAGUGCCUGUGACGGGAGAUGGAAGAACUCUGUCAUAUGUCCGUGAGAGUGAAAGGAACCUCAAGCAUUCAAGGAAACCAAACCGGUACCCAAGAUAGAUGAAGAGAUCAGGAAUUUACCAGGUCACAGAGGCUUCUUGGCAGCCACCUGCAGGAGACGGAUAACACCAUGGCCAGGGCCCCCAUGCUCCAUACCGUGUCUGUGACCUCCACAGACUCACUCCACAAUGUGACUUUGGGUAGGUCACAGUACCUGUACGGCCUCAGCUUCCCCACCUGUCAGAUGGGAAGAACAACAGCGCCCUCCCCAUGAAGCCAUCAUGAGCACCACACCAGCUUCACGUCAUGAGGGUCAGCAGGGAGGGCUACGCUGCAUCGUCCUCUCUCAUGACCAUGUCGGGGACAUCUGGAGCAUCACCUGCUUCCAGGCAGGGUGAAGGGAAUGUGGAAUCACUCGCUGACUCCUGCAUGCUUCAGCUCGGAAGUGGCACGCAUCUCUUCCACUCGUAUCUCACUGGCCAAAGCAGAUUACACAGCUGGGCCUAACCCCAAAUGGAAGAAGUGUAGCCCUUCCCUGUUUCCAGAAGAAGAGACAGGCACUGAUGGACAGGGGUGACAGCCUCCCCGCUGCUGUUCCUCGAACGCGCCAGACACGCCCCAGCCCCGGGCCUUUGCCCUGGCUGUUCCCUCUGCCUGGAGUGCCCUUCCCCAAACACCUGCACAGCUCGCCCCUCACCUUCUUUCAGUCUUUGUUCAAAUGUCACCUUCUUGAUGACGCUUUCCCUGACCACCUCACUUAAAACUUCAGAUGUCUCCUGGACACGGGCUGCCAAUCCCCCUUACCUUUACUUUAGCUU